Molecule: ribosomal RNA, 441 nt
Filed under: uncultured bacterium
Lineage: Bacteria
Description: partial 16S ribosomal RNA
Rfam family: Bacterial small subunit ribosomal RNA
Source: RNAcentral
CCUACGGGGGGCAGCAGUGGGGAAUAUUGCACAAUGGGGGAAACCCUGAUGCAGCGACGCCGCGUGAGUGAAGAAGUAUUUCUGUAUGUAAAGCUCUAUCAGCAGGGAAGAAGAAAGACGGUACCUGACGAAGAAGCCCCGGCUAACUACGUGCCAGCAGCCGCGGUAAUACGUAGGGGGCAAGCGUUAUCCGGAUUUACUGGGUGUAAAGGGAGCGUAGACGGCUGUGCAAGUCUGAAGUGAAAGCCCAGGGCUCAACCCUGGGACUGCUUUGGAAACUGUGGAGCUAGAGUGCUGGUGAGGCAAGUGGAAUUCGUAGUGUAGCGGUGAAAUGCGUAGAUAUUAGGCGGAACACCAGUGGCGCAGGCAGCUUACUAGACAGUAACUGACGUUGAGGCUCGAAAGCGUGGGGAGCAAACAGGAUUAGAUACCCCUGUAGUC